GAUGGGCAGCACCACCGGCCCAUCUCGCCCGCCCCGCCGGGUAGGUGGAGCACGAGCGCGCGGCAUGACCCGAAAGAUGGUGAACUAUGUCUGGGCAGGGCGAAGCCAGAGGAAACUCUCGUGGAGGUGCAUCGGUCCUGACGUGCAAAUCGGUCCUCUGACCUGGGUAUAGGGGCGAAAGACUAAUCGAACCAUCUAGUAGCUGGUUCCCUCCAAAGUUUCCCUCAGGAUAGCUGGCGCUCGGGCCGACCUAGUUUUAUCCGGUAAAGCGAAUGAUUAGAGGUCUUGGGGCCGAAACGAUCUCAACCUAUUCUCAAACUUUAAAUGGGUAAGAAGCCCGGCUCGCUGGCCCUGAUCCGGGCGUGGAAUGCGAGCGCCCAGUGGGCCACUUUUGGUAAGCAGAACUGGCGCUGCGGGAUGAACCGAACGCCGACGCUCAUCAGACACCAGAAAAGGCGUUGGUUGAUAUAGACAGCAGUACGGUGGCCAUGGAAGUCGGAAUCCGCUAAGGAGUGUGUAACAACUCACCUGCCGAAUCAACUAGCCCUGAAAAUGGAUGGCGCUGGAGCAUCGGGCCCAUACCCGGCCGUCGCCUGC
This is a long non-coding RNA of Nanorana parkeri, 597 nucleotides long. RefSeq lists it as uncharacterized. The transcript is spliced from 3 exons. The record is from RefSeq and is a predicted model, not a curated record. NCBI's taxonomy places the organism in Eukaryota, Metazoa, Chordata, Amphibia, Anura, Dicroglossidae.